GAUGAACGCUGGCGGCGUGCUUAACACAUGCAAGUCGAACGGAAAGGCCCAAGCUUGCUUGGGUACUCGAGUGGCGAACGGGUGAGUAACACGUGGGUGAUCUGCCCUGCACUUCGGGAUAAGCCUGGGAAACUGGGUCUAAUACCGGAUAGGACCACAUUUUGGAUGGUGUGGUGGAAAGUUUUUCGGUGUGGGAUGAGCUCGCGGCCUAUCAGCUUGUUGGUGGGGUAAUGGCCUACCAAGGCGUCGACGGGUAGCCGGCCUGAGAGGGUGUACGGCCACAUUGGGACUGAGAUACGGCCCAGACUCCUACGGGAGGCAGCAGUGGGGAAUAUUGCACAAUGGGCGCAAGCCUGAUGCAGCGACGCCGCGUGGGGGAUGACGGCCUUCGGGUUGUAAACUCCUUUCGCUAGGGACGAAGCGCAAGUGACGGUACCUGGAGAAGAGGCACCGGCUAACUACGUG
Molecule: ribosomal RNA, 465 nt
Filed under: uncultured bacterium
Lineage: Bacteria
Description: partial 16S ribosomal RNA
Rfam family: Bacterial small subunit ribosomal RNA
Source: RNAcentral